This 248-nucleotide ribosomal RNA is filed under the name Gammaproteobacteria bacterium. Its description in RNAcentral is "partial 23S ribosomal RNA". It matches the Rfam family "Bacterial large subunit ribosomal RNA", at positions 2683 to 2925 of the family's 2925-position model. The record is from RNAcentral. Lineage: Bacteria; Pseudomonadati; Pseudomonadota; Gammaproteobacteria.
ACGAGAGGACCGGGGUGGACGAACCUCUGGUGUACCAGUUGUUCCGCCAGGAGCAUCGCUGGGUAGCUACGUUCGGACGGGAUAACCGCUGAAAGCAUCUAAGCGGGAAGCCUCCCUCAAGAUAAGAUAUCACUAGAGCCUUGAGCUCUCUGUAGGGCCCUUGAAGACUACAAGGUUGAUAGGCUAGGUGUGGAAGCGCAGUAAUGUGUGAAGCUAACUAGUACUAAUUGCCCGUGAGGCUUGAUCAU